CCUACGGGUGGCAGCAGUAGGGAAUAUUGCUCAAUGGGGGAAACCCUGAAGCAGCAACGCCGCGUGGAGGAUGAAGGUUUUCGGAUUGUAAACUCCUUUUGUUAGAGAAGAUAAUGACGGUAUCUAACGAAUAAGCCCCGGCUAACUCCGUGCCAGCAGCCGCGGUAAUACGGAGGGUGCAAGCGUUACUCGGAAUCACUGGGCGUAAAGAGCGCGUAGGCGGGAUAGCAAGUCAGAUGUGAAAUCCUAGGGCUUAACCAUAGAACUGCAUUUGAAACUGUUAUUCUAGAGUAUGGGAGAGGUAGGUGGAAUUCUUGGUGUAGCGGUAAAAUCCGUAGAGAUCAAGAGGAAUACUCAUUGCGAAGGCGACCUGCUAGAAUGUAACUGACGCUGAUGCACGAAGGCGUGGGGAGCAAACAGGAUUAGAUACCCGUGUAGUC
RNAcentral lists this ribosomal RNA (440 nucleotides) under uncultured bacterium. RNAcentral's name for it is "partial 16S ribosomal RNA". It matches the Rfam family "Bacterial small subunit ribosomal RNA", at positions 338 to 795 of the family's 1533-position model. The record is from RNAcentral.